UUUACCCUUUUGACAUAUAGAACCCUUCUUCCCACUCAAUUUCUGAUACUGCCACUUCUAUUAAUCUAUAUUCCUCCUACCUACAACCUUGUCUCUGUGUGUUUUGUAUCUUUGAGUUUUAUAGUUUCCAAAUAUGAGUGAUCCCAAUUACGCUUAUCCUUACCCUGCUCAAGGUUAUUAUCAACGUCCCCCAGUGAUGGCACCACCACAGUAUGCUGCUCCACCUCCAAGGAGAGAACCUGGUUUCCUUGAGGGCUGUCUUGCGGCUUUGUGUUGCUGCUGUCUAAUUGAUGAGUGCUGCUGUGAUCCUUCCAUCAUCUUUGUGAGCUGAUCAUCUCUCUAAUGCACCCCCAUGGAGAAAAUAUUUUAAUAAUUUAUAAAUAUCAGUGGUGUUUAUUUUAUUUUGUGGUUUGGGCUUCUGGUAUGUUCUUGAAGAUGUUGAUGUGUCUUUAUCCCUGUAAUUCUCUAUUUAGUCUUUGACAAUUUUUUCUUCAUUUAAAUAUGAGUGUUUUCUAAAAA
Gossypium raimondii (Peruvian cotton) is the source of this 519-nucleotide long non-coding RNA. RefSeq lists it as uncharacterized. The transcript has 3 exons. The record is from RefSeq and is a predicted model, not a curated record. NCBI's taxonomy places the organism in Eukaryota, Viridiplantae, Streptophyta, Magnoliopsida, Malvales, Malvaceae.